CCUACGGGCGGCUGCAGUGAGGAAUAUUGGUCAAUGGCCGAGAGGCUGAACCAGCCAAGUCGCGUGAGGGAAGACGGCCCUACGGGUUGUAAACCUCUUUUGUCGGGGAGCAAAGCGAGUCACGUGUGACUCAUUGAGAGUACCCGAAGAAAAAGCAUCGGCUAACUCCGUGCCAGCAGCCGCGGUAAUACGGGGGAUGCGAGCGUUAUCCGGAUUGAUUGGGUUUAGAGGGUGCGCAGGCGGAGGUGCAAGUCAGCGGUCAAAUUGCGGGGCUCAACCCCGUACUGCCGUUGAAACUGGAUACCUUGAGUGCGGGAGAGGUAUGCGGAAUGCGUGGUGUAGCGGUGAAAUGCAUAGAUAGCACGCAGAACUCCGUUUGCGAAGGCAGCAGACCGGCGCGCAACUGACGCUCAUGCACGAAAGCGUGGGUAUCGAACAGGAUUAGAUACCCGAGUAGUC
RNAcentral lists this ribosomal RNA (459 nucleotides) under uncultured bacterium. RNAcentral describes it as "partial 16S ribosomal RNA". It matches the Rfam family "Bacterial small subunit ribosomal RNA", at positions 338 to 795 of the family's 1533-position model. The record is from RNAcentral.